RNAcentral lists this unclassified non-coding RNA (679 nucleotides) under Metschnikowia pulcherrima. RNAcentral's name for it is "sequence contains 18S rRNA gene, ITS1, 5.8S rRNA gene, ITS2, 28S rRNA gene". The stretch from base 335 to 679 matches the Rfam family "Eukaryotic large subunit ribosomal RNA", at positions 1 to 360 of the family's 3401-position model. The record is from RNAcentral. Lineage: Eukaryota; Fungi; Ascomycota; Pichiomycetes; Serinales; Metschnikowiaceae.
GUCGUAACAAGGUUUCCGUAGGUGAACCUGCGGAAGGAUCAUUAAUAUUGUUUUUACACCCUUUUAGGCACAAACUCUAAAUCUUAACCCUCAAUAACUUUAUCAAAAAACUUUCAACAACGGAUCUCUUGGUUCUCGCAUCGAUGAAGAACGCAGCGAAUUGCGAUACGUAAUAUGACUUGCAGACGUGAAUCAUUGAAUCUUUGAACGCACAUUGCGCCCCGGGGUAUUCCCCAGGGCAUGCGUGGGUGAGCGAUAUUUACUCUCAAACCUCCGGUUUGGUCCUGCUUCGGCCUAAUAUCAACGGCGCUAGAAUAAGUUUUAGCCCCAGCCUUUUUCCUCACCCUCGUAAGACUACCCGCUGAACUUAAGCAUAUCAAUAAGCGGAGGAAAAGAAACCAACAGGGAUUGCCUCAGUAACGGCGAGUGAAGCGGCAAAAGCUCAAAUUUGAAAUCCCCCGGGAAUUGUAAUUUGAAGAGAUUUGGGUCCGGCCGGCGGGGGUUAAGUCCACUGGAAAGUGGCGCCACAGAGGGUGACAGCCCCGUGAACCCCUUCAACGCCCUCAUCCCAGAUCUCCAAGAGUCGAGUUGUUUGGGAAUGCAGCUCUAAGUGGGUGGUAAAUUCCAUCUAAAGCUAAAUACCGGCGAGAGACCGAUAGCGAACAAGUACAGUGAUGGA